This is a non-coding RNA of Acanthosepion pharaonis, 106 nucleotides long. NCBI's taxonomy places the organism in Eukaryota, Metazoa, Mollusca, Cephalopoda, Sepiida, Sepiidae. The record is from the annotation of a GenBank genome assembly.
CAGCCACAUCGCAUUGAAACAUCGGUUCUCAUAAGUUCACUGAAGUUAACCAAUGUCGAGCUUGGUCAGUACCUAGAUGGGUGACCACUUGGGAUUACCAGAUGCU